GACUGCGGAAGGAUCCAUU
RNAcentral lists this ribosomal RNA (19 nucleotides) under Pisolithus tinctorius. Its description in RNAcentral is "partial 18S ribosomal RNA". The record is from RNAcentral. Lineage: Eukaryota; Fungi; Basidiomycota; Agaricomycetes; Boletales; Pisolithaceae.